This 492-nucleotide ribosomal RNA is filed under the name uncultured bacterium. RNAcentral describes it as "partial 16S ribosomal RNA". It matches the Rfam family "Bacterial small subunit ribosomal RNA", at positions 29 to 507 of the family's 1533-position model. The record is from RNAcentral.
AGUGAACGCUGGCGGUAGGCCUAACACAUGCAAGUCGAACGGCAGCACAGUAAGAGCUUGCUCUUACGGGUGGCGAGUGGCGGACGGGUGAGGAAUACAUCGGAAUCUACUUUUUCGUGGGGGAUAACGUAGGGAAACUUACGCUAAUACCGCAUACGACCUACGGGUGAAAGCAGGGGAUCUUCGGACCUUGCGCGAUUGAAUGAGCCGAUGUCGGAUUAGCUAGUUGGCGGGGUAAAGGCCCACCAAGGCGACGAUCCGUAGCUGGUCUGAGAGGAUGAUCAGCCACACUGGAACUGAGACACGGUACAGACUCCUACGGGAGGCAGCAGUGGGGAAUCUUGGACAAUGGGCGCAAGCCUGAUCCAGCCAUACCGCGUGGGUGAAGAAGGCGUUCGGGUUGUAAAGCCCUUUUGUUGGGAAAGAAAAGCAGCAGGUUAAUACCCCGCUGUUCUGACGGUACCCAAAGAAUAAGCACCGGCUAACUUCGUG